RNAcentral lists this ribosomal RNA (565 nucleotides) under Thecaphora thlaspeos. Its description in RNAcentral is "LSU rRNA". It matches the Rfam family "Eukaryotic large subunit ribosomal RNA", at positions 66 to 627 of the family's 3401-position model. Lineage: Eukaryota; Fungi; Basidiomycota; Ustilaginomycetes; Urocystidales; Glomosporiaceae. The record is from RNAcentral.
UAACAAGGAUUCCCCUAGUAACGGCGAGUGAAGAGGGAAAAGCCCAAGUUUGAAAGCUGGCACCUUUGGUGUCCGCAUUGUAAACUCGAGAAGCAUUAUCCGCGCCGGACCAAGCUUUAAAUCCUUUGGAAUAAGGUACCUUAGAGGGUGAUAGUCCCUUUCAUAGUUUGGAACCCCCGGGGCUUUGUGAUUUGCUCUCCAAGAGUCGAGUUGUUUGGGAAUGCAGCUCAAAAUGGGUGGUAAAUGCCAUCUAAGGCUAAAUAUUGAGGAGAGACCGAUAGCGAACAAGUACCGUGAGGGAAAGAUGAAAAGAACUUUGGAAAGAGAGUUAAACAGUACGUGAAAUUGCCGGAAGGGAAGGGUAGGAAGUCAGACAUGCCUUUGCGGAUUCAGCUUGACCUUUUGAGGUUGUGUGUAUUUCCGUUUGGGCAGGCCAACAUCGAUUUUGGCUGUCGGAUAGGAAUGGAAGGAAUGUGGCACUCUUUUCGGAGGGUGUGUUAUAGCCUUCUAUUUGGUACGGCGGCUGGGAUCGAGGAACGCAGUGCACCCUUUUUUGGGCGGGCCU